This 497-nucleotide ribosomal RNA is filed under the name uncultured bacterium. Its description in RNAcentral is "partial 16S ribosomal RNA". It matches the Rfam family "Bacterial small subunit ribosomal RNA", at positions 28 to 507 of the family's 1533-position model. The record is from RNAcentral.
GAUGAACGCUGGCGGCGUGCCUAAUACAUGCAAGUCGAGCGAACGGACGAGAAGCUUGCUUCUCUGAUGUUAGCGGCGGACGGGUGAGUAACACGUGGAUAACCUACCUAUAAGACUGGGAUCACUUCGGGAAACCGGAGCUAAUACCGGAUAAUAUUUUGAACCGCAUGGUUCAAAAGUGAAAGACGGUCUUGCUGUCACUUAUAGAUGGAUCCGCGCUGCAUUAGCUAGUUGGUAAGGUAACGGCUUACCAAGGCAACGAUGCAUAGCCGACCUGAGAGGGUGGUAGCCCACAUUGGAAGUGAGACACCGUCCAGAGUCCUAAGGGAGGCAGCAGUAGGGAAUCUUACGCAGUGGGCGAAAGCCUGACGGAGCAACGCCGCGUGAGUGGUGAAGGUGUUCGGAGCGUAAAGCUCUGUUAUUAGGGAAGAACAUAUGUGUAAGUAACUGUGCACAUCGUGACGGUACCUAAUCAGAAAGCCACGGCUAACUACGUG